Molecule: long non-coding RNA, 363 nt
Organism: Stegodyphus dumicola
Lineage: Eukaryota; Metazoa; Arthropoda; Arachnida; Araneae; Eresidae
Source: RefSeq, a predicted model, not a curated record
CAAGUGAACCUGCGGAUAUCUAUUCUUUACGGGUUUUUUUGUUUGCGGCGCUAAUAGUCAGGCAUAUAUAUACGUAUAUAGAGAGAAAAAGAGAAAUACAGCGAGCUGCAGAGUUCUUUAAAGUUUCAAUAUUUCGUUCUGCAAACACUGCUUAUCAAAUCCUUUUAUCAUGAUAAAAGUUCAUAUUUUUUCGGCUAUAGUUUUGAUUUUUUGUUUUGUUCUUGUGGGUGCUCAGAAACCCCCAAGAUUAUAUGCAAAAUCGAAAUGCGAAAAGAGACUAAAAAACGAGACAUUGUUGGAGAAAUGUAAAAUAUGUGUAGAAGAAUAUACGCUUCCAGAGUUCCCUUCUAAAGAACAAGUAAG